AGAACAAAUAGGAAAAGUAGAAAAAGGGAAAAAACGCAGGAACAAGCAUUUCAUCUCUCUUUGCAAAUCAUCAUCAACCACCACUGCACACCACCAGCCGCUCCCCCUCCGCUACCUUCAUCUCUGUCGACAGCCGCACGCAACCUCCACUCCAUCGUCGUUCUCUCUCUCUCUCUCAUGGUUUCAUUGUGAUAUGUUCUGUGAUCCACUAGAUCUGAUAUGUUCUUGGAUUGAAGCUUUUCUUUUUCUAGUGGGUUUUGAGAUUUGAGAUUUGAACUUUAUUUNNNNNNNNNNNNNNNNUUUUUUUACUGGAUUUUUUCUUCCCUAACUGUUUUAUUUUUCUUCUUUCUUUUCUGGAUUUCUGGACAUGUAUUUGUUUAAUUUAUGUGGUUUUGGAUUUUAAUUUUCUGGGUUGAAGUGUCUAUUUUGAGUUUGUUUAAAGAUUUCGAAUUUUUUUGUUGAAGUUUAUGUAAAUGUUCAUGAAGAUGAAUAACAAAUGAAGGAGAAGAUGAAGAAGGAAAACAAAAUUCAAUGUUGGUGGUACACCAUUAGUAACAGUGGACCCGUGGAAAACUAACAUUUUUUUGAAAAAAUUAACGGAAAUGACCAAAAUAACUAACAGAAAAAUCUUUAAGGGACCAAUUUGGACAUUUUUUUCUUUAAGGGACCAUUGUGAAACCUAAAAUGUCUUUAAGGGACCAUUUAAGUAAUUAAGCC
RNAcentral lists this long non-coding RNA (717 nucleotides) under Trifolium pratense (red clover). RNAcentral describes it as "long non-coding RNA (TPRA_LNC011953)". Lineage: Eukaryota; Viridiplantae; Streptophyta; Magnoliopsida; Fabales; Fabaceae. The record is from RNAcentral.